GUCGACGAUGAAGCCCAGCUUGCUGGGCGGAUUAGUGGCGAACGGGUGAGUAACACGUGAGUAACCUGCCCUUGACUCUGGGAUAAGCCCGGGAAACUGGGUCUAAUACCGGAUAGGAGCGCCUGUCGCAUGACGGGUGCUGGAAAGAUCUUUCGGUCAUGGAUGGACUCGCGGCCUAUCAGCUUGUUGGUGAGGUAAUGGCUCACCAAGGCGACGACGGGUAGCCGGCCUGAGAGGGUGACCGGCCACACUGGGACUGAGACACGGCCCAGACUCCUACGGGAGGCAGCAGUGGGGAAUAUUGCACAAUGGGCGAAAGCCUGAUGCAGCGACGCCGCGUGAGGGAUGACGGCCUUCGGGUUGUAAACCUCUUUCAGCAGGGAAGAAGCGAAAGUGACGGUACCUGCAGAAGAAGCACCGGCUAACUACGUGCCAGCAGCCGCGGUAAUACGUAGGGUGCGAGCGUUAUCCGGAAUUAUUGGGCGUAAAGAGCUCGUAGGCGGUUUGUCACGUCUGUCGUGAAAGUCCGGGGCUUAACCCCGGAUCUGCGGUGGGUACGGGCAGACUAGAGUGCAGUAGGGGAGACUGGAAUUCCUGGUGUAGCGGUGGAAUGCGCAGAUAUCAGGAGGAACACCGAUGGCGAAGGCAGGUCUCUGGGCUGUAACUGACGCUGAGGAGCG
RNAcentral lists this ribosomal RNA (680 nucleotides) under Micrococcus sp. N-YH-1748. RNAcentral's name for it is "bacterial SSU rRNA". It matches the Rfam family "Bacterial small subunit ribosomal RNA", at positions 61 to 755 of the family's 1533-position model. Lineage: Bacteria; Bacillati; Actinomycetota; Actinomycetes; Micrococcales; Micrococcaceae. The record is from RNAcentral.